Erythranthe guttata (spotted monkey flower) is the source of this 325-nucleotide long non-coding RNA. RefSeq lists it as uncharacterized. The record is from RefSeq and is a predicted model, not a curated record. NCBI's taxonomy places the organism in Eukaryota, Viridiplantae, Streptophyta, Magnoliopsida, Lamiales, Phrymaceae.
UGCUUCUCCGUAGGCCUGGCUGCUGCUGCUGCUCGCCGGAGUAUUAUUCGCUGCCGUCAUUAUUGCCGGACGGAUUAAUCUUUUACAGGUCUGUAUUUGUGCGGAGUCUAUGAAGCCUGUAUUUAUGGAGUCUAUGCACGAGAGAGAAAUUAAUGAAAGGGGUGGUGGUGGGUGCAUGUUUAAGGAUAUUUGUGACACUGAUAAUAAUAAUAUAUAAUGUAGAUUUGAUUUUGAUUUUGAUUUUGAUUUGAUAAUAAAGAAUGUAUACAAUACAAUACAAUACAAUACAUACAACAACAGGCCUGGAAACAACUUUUGAAGAUGA